Molecule: long non-coding RNA, 315 nt
Organism: Gopherus flavomarginatus (Mexican gopher tortoise)
Lineage: Eukaryota; Metazoa; Chordata; Testudines; Testudinidae
Exons: 4
Source: RefSeq, a predicted model, not a curated record
AGCCACAGCCGUUUGUAAAAAAUCAAGGGAGAAUGGAAGAAGAGCCUAUAUAUGAGGACAUGGCAACCGAGGAACAGCCGCAGGAUAGCGAUGUUGAAAACCAACCUAUGGACCCCGAGUUGUGGAAAGAUGGCGAUAUUGUUACGAUAACCAAGCCUGGGCCGUACAAGAUUACUGCUUUGGUGUGUAACAAACUGCCAACAGUUGCAGAGACAGAAACACCCGAGGAGGCUGCUGAAACUAUGAUUGACGAAGGUGAUUCAGAAACAAAGGACACAAACGGGGUGUCAAUAGUAAAACCCAAAGAACACUACA